Molecule: ribosomal RNA, 501 nt
Filed under: uncultured bacterium
Lineage: Bacteria
Description: partial 16S ribosomal RNA
Rfam family: Bacterial small subunit ribosomal RNA
Source: RNAcentral
AUUGAACGCUGGCGGCAGGCUUAACACAUGCAAGUCGAGCGGGGGAAGGUAGCUUGCUACCGGACCUAGCGGCGGACGGGUGAGUAAUGCUUAGGAAUCUGCCUAUUAGUGGGGGACAACAUCUCGAAAGGGAUGCUAAUACCGCAUACGUCCUACGGGAGAAAGCAGGGGAUCUUCGGACCUUGCGCUAAUAGAUGAGCCUAAGUCGGAUUAGCUAGUUGGUGGGGUAAAGGCCUACCAAGGCGACGAUCUGUAGCGGGUCUGAGAGGAUGGGCCGCCACACUGGGACUGGGACACGGCCCAGACUCCUACGGGAGGCAGCAGUGGGGAAUAGUGGACAAUGGGGGGAACCCUGAUCCAGCCAUGCCGCGUGUGUGAAGAAGGCCUUAUGGUUGUAAAGCACUUUAAGCGAGGAGGAGGCUACUUUAGUUAAUACCUAGAGAUAGUGGACGUUACUCGCAGAAUAAGCACCGGCUAACUCUGUGCCAGCCGCCGCGGUAA